UUUUGCAGUUCCUUCCCAACCACACAGUUCUUGUUGCUGCUCCCCAUCACAAGCCCUUUGCCUUAUGAGGAUAUUGAUGCCCUGCCUCUGGUUCUUAUCAGGUCUUUUCCUAUGGCCAUCCCAAUCUAUGAGGUCUUCUGUGGAUACCUGUGAAAUUCAGCCUCCCUCUAGAAUGUGAUCUGAUGGCCCAUGAGCUCAGCUUUCAGGUGAACGGUAUCUUGUCAGACAUGCACCUUGUAUCCUGUUUUGCAAAGACCCCUUGGAGCUCAGUCCACUGAUGGAACCCACAUAGCUGAUGGGGGGUUGAGAGCAGGAUCUUCCACCACACAGCAGGCCUUUUAAUUUAUUAUCUUGAAGUCUGCAGAAGAUGGCAGAAAUCCAGCAUGAGGAGUUCUGCCAUGCAGAGGUGGGGCUGCUGGUGUGACCAGGGUAUUAUUUUUCUUUCUUUUUGGCCAGAGGUAUGCAGUCCAGUUUUAAUCCUUCCUGAUCUCCGGUGUCCCACCUUGUGCUCGUUAGAUGGGAGAGAAGCUGCAGGUUCUGAGAUGUAAUCCUGCACAAUCAUAUACUUUGUCUAUUUUUGCUUAUUGCUUUGAAACAAAAUGAAGAUGGCGAUGCUAGAAUAAUACAAAUGGGCAGAGCUGAAGAGCUACCAAUUCUUAGCUCACAUAUAUUUUUACAUUUUUUUUUUCUUUCUUUCUUUUGCUGUGUUAAGUGACUCAGAGCCACGGCCAGGAAGGAGGAGGCCCAUGACAGCAGCUGUUUUGGCAAAGCACAGAUCACUCAGCACAGCUGUGGUUGACUCUGUGCCCCACUCUCUGCACUUACACCCCACAGCCUUCUGUCUCAUUAGCUUUGCUCAGCCUGCCGACUGCAGCACAUUGUAAAUGGUGCAUGAGAUUAAAUACUGCUACCCACCUGGUGGAUGCUGCCAUCUGUGCUCUUAGUUAGGAUGCUGAAUUCGGGACAGAGAGGCCCAAAAGAACCUCUGUUGGAGAAUGCAGAGAGGAAGAUUGCUCUGCAGUUGUUUCUAUUGGAAGGGCAUGGCAGCAUUCUUUCUGAGGUCUUGUACAACUCUUCUGAACAAUGGUGAGUGCCUCACCCAGCAUCCUAAGAGAUGGCUUUCUCUAGGCUUUAAAUAGCAAAGAAAUGUAACUAUAAACACUGCAAUCUAUAUUUCUAUCUAUCCUGUUACCUGCAUUGAGCUAUGAGUGCCUUUGUAUGUUUUCUUGUGUUGUCAGUCUUUCCAGCUUCAACUUGGUUGAAAUUGCAAAGAGUUUGAUAAUAAAACCCUGCACCUCACCUAUGAGUGGUGUGAUUUGACAAACAAACAGACCUGAAAUUACUGCUAGGCUCUCUUUUUGGUUACUUUAGGGAACAGUGAUUUAGAACUUCAAAGAAAAAGAGAGAAAAUGUGUGAUUUUUAUGAAUGAAUAAAACAAGCAGGAUGGUGUAUCUUUGUGGACACAAUUGGAACCAAUUCUAAAGAAAAAUCAAGAGUAGAUUUGCAGUUGAGCAGGAAGCUGAAGCAUGAAAUAGCCCUCAGUCUUCCUUACUUCCUUCCUUACAUAUCGAGCUGUGUGUUUUUACCUGGGCUAUCUAAGGUCAAGAAUCAUCACUUCAGAAGCAGUGACAUAUCUACCAGCUUGAGCCUGCUUACUGCUGAAGUAGACUUCAAGUGUAAAUGAGAACACCUUGGCACUGUGACUCUGAGCAAAGGGGAGGCCAUGACCGAGCCUGAGGCUGCCAGUGUCUGGGGAAGAGGAAGGUCACCGGAGGGUUGGCUGGACCUGAAAUUUGAACACAGUCUAUGUGUGGAUUCAACAGAGAAAAGGUCAAGAAGACCAUGUUCCAGUGAGGGCUUGAGCACAGAGCCCAGCAACGUCCAGGCCAGAGCAAGAUGACAACUCCAUGACACAGCGCAGACCUGGGACCUGCUCUUAGCAUGCUGUAUCUUUCAGGUAGGAGGAGACUUAUGACGACAUUAGGCAGCACUAAUCAUUUUGCUCAUUCUGAGAUACUGUACUACAUCGGAUGCUGGGUGGGCUCUUUUGAGAGCAAUCUAAGUUCUUAAAAACUAUUCUGUUCCAGUAAGUGGGGGAAACAGAGCUUUGGCCCAAGUGAUUCAAAUGCCAUAGGUGUGUUGGCAACAGCUAAUGAGGUAGGAUCAGCUAAAACAAAGGUUGCUGUGUGUUUGGUUACAGUUACUCAAGUCUGAAGAGAAAAAUCAAUGCUGGGCUGAAAUAUCGGCUGUCAGGCUCUAUACAUACAGAGGCUGCAGAGAGUUGGGCAGAGGAGAGAUGGAUGGGAGUUGUCAGCUUCUAGCUCCUCCAGAACCUCCCACAUCAGAGGCAGUGUGCUGCACAGAGUAGAAAAAUGAGGAAAUCCAUCAAUUAUUUUCUUCCGACACAGUGCAGGAGUACAGCUGCAACAUUCAUCAAACAUUUUCUCAUCGGAUGAAUUAAUGGAAGUCUCCAGACUGUUCCUCUUCAGCAUGUCAAGUGUUUUGAAGUCCCCUAAAUACAAAUAGAAGGAAACCUUUGUUUAGUGUAAAACUGAACGUGUUUACUGUGACAUAACAUCAGAAAAAUAAAACAAUAAAGGGAGAACAAGCAUUAUUACUAGGCUCACCUCUGUGGAGGUGAGAGGGCAGAAGUCUCCCAUGUCUCACAGGCACCCCCAUUGCCAUAAUUUUUCCCUCUAAAGUCUCCAUUUUGGUGACCUGAGACACCUUUCCCUUCUGCCCAAUGCACUGUGCAGAUGUAGCCUGAAAUUGCCAUGCCAUGUCCGUGCCAUUGGCUUGUGUACAGCCUCUUGCCAUUGGCAAGAAUUAAAUGUUGCAAAUAUGUGCCUGACCCACCACAGCCUUGGAGCCUGCAGAUUGGCUUUUUACGAAACUCUUGGGACAUCAAGAACUACUGGGAAAAAUGAGUUGCCUGGAGGUUCAUCACAGCUGCAGAGCAACCAGAGUGAGAUGAACGAGACACUGAGAUCCCAACAUUUUCCCUUCCUCCUGUAGCUCUUCCACGUGCUUCACUGCCUAUGUGGCAGAUGUGGAAACUGUACUGAGAAGAGCUUAUGAACAGAAAAGGGGAUGUGUACUCAUAGGUGAAGUAAAGCAGGAAAAAAUGAGAAGAAGAGCAGCUCCAGAAUACAAGUUUGCCGGUAAAGUCAGCUGUGGUCUUCUCACAUUACUGUUGGCUUCAUUCAGGAUAAUUUUUGCUAGAGGGUGUCUUAAUUCCUGGUAGGUGAGAAUGACUUUUUUUGUAAAUCUCUGUGAGAAACUAUAGAAGCUCUGGUUUGCCCUAAUAUCAUGUUGGUUUCUUGGUUUGCACAACUUUGCAUAGCAGCGAUGUCCCACAGCGAGCUGCAGGUUGUACAAGAUGUGAUUCGAAUUUCAUGGACGUUGUUUUGUUCUCUAUUUUGAUCAGUUUCUGCCAUCUCCCUCUUUGUCUUCUUUUUGAAAACCAUAUGGCUUCUCAGUCUCUUCUCAUAGGAAAAGUGUCUUGCUAUUGCCUUUUGUUUUCCUUUUUCCUACUGUUUUUGGGACAUACCUCAUAGCUGUGAGUCAUCUCUGGGCUCUGCCAAGUUCUCACACAUCCUUCAGGACCCACGUUUGUCAAACGCAGAAACAGUCGUGAGCAGCACACAGGGCUCACAUUUACAUUUAGCUGGAAGUGGGAUGGAAGGCGUGUUUUGCCUGGAAGAAGAAAAGGCCAGACAAGUCAUCGGGCUGGGGGAGGCACUGGUGAGUUGUCAAGAACAUCCUGGGAAAGGAAGGAGGAUUUUGAGGAAAGAAGAAAAUCGGCAUUUUACGUUUUUCAGCAUUGAAAGUACUCUCUCUGUAUGUGCUUUCUGAACAGGAAGAGAAGACAGCAUAAUCAGCUUCAGUAAAUGGGAAUCACACGGGCAGAUCACUGCCCCUCCAAGGAUUCCCUUUCUUGGCUCUGUUAAUGCACAAAACAGGAGCACUUUGACCACCUUGCACUGUCAGUGAACAGCACAGUGAACCAUCCACCUCAAAUCACAUCUGAAGCAUAGGCUUAAAGUGAGUGACAUUAUGCAUAUUCCUGACAAGUCUCCAUUAAUUCCCCCGUGAAGCCUCCAUUUUAAUUAAAUUUGUAAGCCACAUUAGUCUUACAGUCACUGGGUUCAAACAGUAAUCACUGACUUUGCUAUUUAUUAUGCAGUAAAGGCUAUACUGAGGGGGAAAUAAAUUGCAUGGGCCCUUUGAGUUACAAAUAAAGAGAAGCUGCUGAAGACAGUGGUAGGCACACACAAACACAGAGCAUGGAGCAGAGCAGGACAGGAGCCCAGCUCUA
Molecule: long non-coding RNA, 4319 nt
Organism: Lagopus muta (rock ptarmigan)
Lineage: Eukaryota; Metazoa; Chordata; Aves; Galliformes; Phasianidae
Exons: 3
Source: RefSeq, a predicted model, not a curated record